This is a long non-coding RNA of Micropterus dolomieu (smallmouth bass), 340 nucleotides long. RefSeq lists it as uncharacterized. NCBI's taxonomy places the organism in Eukaryota, Metazoa, Chordata, Actinopteri, Centrarchiformes, Centrarchidae. The record is from RefSeq and is a predicted model, not a curated record. The transcript is spliced from 3 exons.
CUAACUGAAGUUCGACACUUUCAUGCAUGCGCUCCAUUGACUCCAAUGUAAAAAGAGGAACAUUAACGAAGGAGAGAGAGAGAGAGAGAAAGAGAAAGCGACUCUGUACCUGCAGUGGGUUUUUGGUGCUGAUGGCCAGGACCUGGUACUUGAAGUAACAGAGCUCACAGCUCCAGGAGCCUCUCUCACUGAUCCAGCGGAUAAGGCAGGACUGCUGAGAAGAGAGACGAGCUCCAUCCACAGCGCACUGACACAAGCUGCUGUCCAAGGUGCUGAUACUCGUGUGACGUGAUGGCCACGUGCUGAUCGAGAUCCAUCGGAUGACGGAGAAAAGGAAAAC